AGCCCCGUACACAAAAAUGCACAUACUGUGAGCUCGAUGAGUAGGGCGGGACACGUGGUAUCCUGUCUGAAUAUGGGGGGACCAUCCUCCAAGGCUAAAUACUCCUGACUGACCGAUAGUGAACCAGUACCGUGAGGGAAAGGCGAAAAGAACCCCGGCGAGGGGAGUGAAAAAGAACCUGAAACCGUGUACGUACAAGCAGUGGGAGCCUCUUUUAUGGGGUGACUGCGUACCUUUUGUAUAAUGGGUCAGCGACUUAUAUUCUGUAGCAAGGUUAACCGAAUAGGGGAGCCGAAGGGAAACCGAGUCUUAACUGGGCGUUAAGUUGCAGGGUAUAGACCCGAAACCCGGUGAUCUAGCCAUGGGCAGGUUGAAGGUUGGGUAACACUAACUGGAGGACCGAACCGACUAAUGUUGAAAAAUUAGCGGAUGACUUGUGGCUGGGGGUGAAAGGCCAAUCAAACCGGGAGAUAGCUGGUUCUCCCCGAAAGCUAUUUAGGUAGCGCCUCGUGAAUUCAUCUCCGGGGGUAGAGCACUGUUUCGGCAAGGGGGUCAUCCCGACUUACCAACCCGAUGCAAACUGCGAAUACCGGAGAAUGUUAUCACGGGAGACACACGGCGGGUGCUAACGUCCGUCGUGAAGAGGGAAACAACCCAGACCGCCAGCUAAGGUCCCAAAGUCAUGGUUAAGUGGGAAACGAUGUGGGAAGGCCCAGACAGCCAGGAUGUUGGCUUAGAAGCAGCCAUCAUUUAAAGAAAGCGUAAUAGCUCACUGGUCGAGUCGGCCUGCGCGGAAGAUGUAACGGGGCUAAACCAUGCACCGAAGCUGCGGCAGCGACACUGUGUGUUGUUGGGUAGGGGAGCGUUCUGUAAGCCUGUGAAGGUGUGCUGUGAGGCAUGCUGGAGGUAUCAGAAGUGCGAAUGCUGACAUAAGUAACGAUAAAGCGGGUGAAAAGCCCGCUCGCCGGAAGACCAAGGGUUCCUGUCCAACGUUAAUCGGGGCAGGGUGAGUCGACCCCUAAGGCGAGGCCGAAAGGCGUAGUCGAUGGGAAACAGGUUAAUAUUCCUGUACUUGGUGUUACUGCGAAGGGGGGACGGAGAAGGCUAUGUUGGCCGGGCGACGGUUGUCCCGGUUUAAGCGUGUAGGCUGGUUUUCCA
RNAcentral lists this ribosomal RNA (1158 nucleotides) under Escherichia coli. RNAcentral describes it as "partial 23S ribosomal RNA". It matches the Rfam family "Bacterial large subunit ribosomal RNA", at positions 369 to 1535 of the family's 2925-position model. Lineage: Bacteria; Pseudomonadati; Pseudomonadota; Gammaproteobacteria; Enterobacterales; Enterobacteriaceae. The record is from RNAcentral.